Non-coding RNA from Rattus norvegicus (Norway rat), 3340 nucleotides. Lineage: Eukaryota; Metazoa; Chordata; Mammalia; Rodentia; Muridae. The record is from RefSeq and is a predicted model, not a curated record.
AGGAAAAUAAGGAGCCCUGAUUUCUUCAUCUGGCCGUGUCCUUCAUUCUCCUGCCAGGAUUCGGGAGAACCACAAGGGAUGUUGGCUGCCUUGGAUACACAGGAGGAUGCUGAAAUCCCUCCAACCCUUCCGUCUUCCCGACAAACUUCAAGAGUUCUCAUUUCUUAUACCAGCCAUGUGGGAAACUGACAAGUUACAUUCCCAUCUGCCCAAACAGUUGAAGUCAUGUUGUCUUUAAGCCCGUAGCUCACCUUGCCGUGGGCACAAGCCCCUCAGCCACGCAGCUGAAGAAAGAAACAGACAUUGUAACCGGGGUAUGAACAGCAGUAGAAACAGACCAAGAGGAUCUAACAGCAAGAAUCCGAGAAAGACAGGUGACUGUUUCCUUUUCACUAUCUUUCUAUGUGGAAAGUUCAGUCCUCGGCCCAGGAAGAGGGGUUUGUGGAUGACUUCCCAUGAAUCACUUUAACCUACCUUAUCUCUGGCUUCUGUAAUAGUAUGCUUUGGAACUGCACGAUUCUUGGGACCAGGGCCUCUUGUUUAUCUUAAAUCAGUGUGAAGGUUGUUUUUUUAAAAAUCUAAGUAUACUUUUGUUUGGAAAUAGAUGUCUAACACAUAUCCUGAUUUAAAAAGUAAAAGUAAAUAGUCAGUGGAAUAGGUUCUUGCUGGGCAACCUGUGCGGAGGUGUAAAGAAGCGGACACACAUCACAGAGUUGUUCUGUGACACGUAUGCCAGAGCACAUAGACAUACAAUGUUAAAAAAUAUAAUAGAUCUAUGAACCAUAUGAGUCCUGGAUAUUUUCCCCGAAGACUCCAAGCCAACAUAUCACAGAUACGCAUGCAUGUGUUCAUUACCUCACUGUUUGCAGUUCCUGUUCUAUGGGAAAGACCUCCAUGUUCUUAAGUAGAGAAGUAAAGAACACCUGGUUUGGAUUUUGUAAUUUUCCAAGCCACAGAGAGAAAGAAGUUAGGACACCUGUGGAAACAUGGAAACAGCUGGAGACUGUCAUACUAAGUGACUGGGUUGAGGAUUGAAUUCUCCACGUAGAAAAAUAGUGAAAAGGAAAUGGUCACCUGUCUUUUUCGGAUACUUGCUGUUAGGUUGUCUUGGUCUGUUUCUACCACCAUUCAUACCCCAGUUACAAUGUCUGUUUCUUUCUUCAUCUGGUGGCUAGGGAGCUCAUGCCCAUAGCAAGGUGAGCGACAGGCUUAAAGACAUGACAUACUAAGUGGUCAGGAAGACCAUUGUCAUGUACUUCCUCUCAUUCAUGGUUCCUGGGUUUUAUAUAGAUACCAAAAAUACAUAAGAACCCAUGAAGAAAAUAUAUAAAUUAUUAUCUCCUCAGAUAUACAGGUAUCAACAACUGCAUCAACUCUGCUCUUCCAGUUAUAAGAAGCCUGAUGUCUGACAUUGAGUCAGUAGGUCUUGGGGUCCUAGCCAUUCUUCAAGGGUAUAGUAAGGCCUGGUGAAGAUUGUCUAUAUAUCAAUAUAUUAUUUACCCAGAGGAUCACUCUGAGGGCUUCUCUUUUACUUUAUUAUUUCUUGAAAGAGCACAGUUUACUGUGUGUCUCAGCAUAAAGGACUGGGCAAGGAUUAAUUUUCUUCCAGUAUUGCCUGUUUGGCAUAAUUCUGAGUACAUGUAUUCUCGGGUGAAUAACAGUUUUACCUAAGUGUUUUAAUUAUAGAAAUCUACCAAACUGAGAGUACUUAGUACUCCCAAGGCUGUUCCGAUUUUCAAAUCUCAUGAAGACCAUUUUCUGGCUGCUCCCCUGUGCUUCUUGACCAAUCUAAAUACCUCCUCUCUCCUCCAUCUUUCCAUCAUGAUGAGACGCUUCCCGAAGCAGCAUCUGGCCAGGAUGAAUUCUUAGUUCAACUGGCCUUUACCACAGAGGAGCAAACUUUGCAGAGCUGUGGUUCUAUACUUGUGGUGAAAUUGGAGCCUAAGGACUUUUCUGGGGAUUGGGAGCUGACAGUGGGCUUAUAAAUCUGACGCAAUCUUGAGAGGAAGCAGCGUGGCUCUCCACCAUCGUGAGCCCGGAGAUUGUUCUGGACCCCACUGCAGGAUACUGCUGAGAUGAGCGGCAGGUUUUGUUCCAAGUUCAUAACUUACUCAAGAUACAUCUAACUGAUUUACUGCUGAAGACAGCUCUCUGAGGAUAAUUCAAGUGGGAUCACAUCUUCUCUCAGCUAUCUGGGAUUGUCUAAGUUUUGCUGGUGGGGGGUAGUAAACCAAGGAUUAUUAUACAUCACUGGUAAUAAUAAAAUAAAAUUCUCUUUUCAGAAUACAACCAGACAUACACAGUGGCACCUAAGAGGGUCUUCAUACACUCCCAUAAAAGAUGGGUGAGGGUGUAGCUACAGAAAAAUCAUGUUGUUGAUUUGACUGCAACCAUAGGAACUAAUCUCUGGAUGCUUCUUUGAGGGAUGGUACAGAUUAGGUUAAUUGAGAAAGGGAGAUCCACCCUAACUGGGAGAAGCAGGGUUCCAUAACUGUGCUCCUCUACUGAAGGAGAAGGAGAAAUAAAGUUAAACACCAGCAUCAGGCUCAUUAAGUUGCCCUAUCCAAUUAUUCUGUUAUGUCUGUAGGACAAGGGGCCGACACAUCUUCUGUUGUUGAAUAUUGGCCAGUACAUGUUUGGAUAAAGCACACCAAACCAAUACCAACAUGGUUCCACAUGGAGAGAUUUAAUGGGAGAAUGAGACAAGGAGAAGGGGUGAGAGAAAGAAGAGAAAAGAAACGAGAGAAGGGGGGGAGGGCAGAAGAAGUCUGCCUUUUAUUUGGAAUGUGGUGUAACUAUUCCCAGGCAGAGUUGGGAAUUGAACCAACGGAAUACUGGAAAUGUAUGGCCAUUGCCAUGGCAACAGUAACCACAUGGUGUCUCCGUUGGAGAAAUGGAUAAAGUUUCAAACUGCAUGGUAGUCUUCACUGUGUGUGUAGGAAUGAGGACAAAGUGAGGAAACCAUAUCCAGCACUAGCUCCUGCCUAGGACGGAUGGGGAGUAGGAGCCAAGAAGAUGUUUCGUAUCUGUACCCACAGCGUUUGGACUGACCUGUUACUCAUCACACCUUAUCCCAUCCUGACUGACACACAGCCCACUGUCCUCUGAAAGGGAAACUUGAGCUCAGACAAGGGCUGCCAGAGGUUUUUAUGUCUGAUGCUGAAGCCUGUGUCCCUGUGUAAGGACAGAGCUGGGAUCAACGGUUGUUGAUCCUGAUGCUGCAACUUCAGAUCUUGUCAAUGGUUCAACCAUCUGGAGCUCACAGAAUCCAAGAGUCAGUAUGGGGUUUUACCUGAUGAGAAAGUGGUACCUGUCUUGUAAAACGAUUCUUUGCCUAAGA